UGAAGCAAUCAAAUCAAAUCUUUAAGUUAAAAAGCCAAAAAACCCUACCUCGCCUCCAUUUUUGUGUCCCCUUCCUUCUCCAUAUCCUUUGAUCUACUUCCCAUCACUGCUUAUCUCUCUCUGCUUCUUCUAUUUCAAACAAAUCGAACACUGCAACACACCGCGACGGUCGUUCCGAAGAUGAAUCUUAACUACAUCGCGAGAAGCUCUUCGAAUACCUUGAGAAAUUCAAUAGUUCCAAGAACAAAUCUCAGGUGAUACUCUGAAUGCAUUGAAGAACAACAUGAAUUAUCCUAACAAUGUUCUUUAAUGUUGGCCAAGGAGGUCAAAAUGUUUUGGAGCUUUAUGAUUUUUAUCAUGUAGACCAAGAGAGGCUUUGUGUUUGCUGUCAAGGAGUCCAUUGUUUAGUUGAUUUGGUGCUAAAAGCUUCUUCCAAGACUAUAAGGAUUAUUAUUCAAAUAUCAAUCUGAAUGAAGCUAUUGAUUUGUUAAGGUUUUACAUUGGAGCAAUACGGUGAAAAGGGAUUACGAUCAAAGAAGGCAUGUUACAGGUGCUUCUUCAUAUGAUUAUGCAGCCAAGAUAGUGGGGGUAUUGAAUGGAAAUUUUUACUAUUUUACACUAAGAUUGUCCAAUUUUAGUUGUAUUUAUGGUUGAGUAAAUAGUGUCUUAACUUGUAUCUGAGAAGUCAUUGGAGCGGUAACCAUGACUUUAGGUUUUUUAUAGUAGUAGUACAUGUUGCUACUUUUUAGUACCCAUAGAAAGGAUGUACUCCACUAUUCAUUUAUGUAAAACUGCAAUCAUUUGAAUAAAGGAGUUCAUGUAUUUGCCUCA
This is a long non-coding RNA of Trifolium pratense (red clover), 831 nucleotides long. RefSeq lists it as uncharacterized. The transcript is spliced from 4 exons. The record is from RefSeq and is a predicted model, not a curated record. NCBI's taxonomy places the organism in Eukaryota, Viridiplantae, Streptophyta, Magnoliopsida, Fabales, Fabaceae.